Molecule: ribosomal RNA, 253 nt
Filed under: uncultured bacterium
Lineage: Bacteria
Description: partial 16S ribosomal RNA
Rfam family: Bacterial small subunit ribosomal RNA
Source: RNAcentral
UACGUAGGGUGCAAGCGUUGUCCGGAUUUAUUGGGCGUAAAGAGCGUGUAGGCGGCCAGGUAGGUCUGCUGUGAAAACUCGAGGCUUAACCUCGAGCUGUCGGCGGAAACCAUCUGGCUAGAGUCCGGAAGAGGAGAAUGGAAUUCCCGGUGUAGCGGUGAAAUGCGCAGAUAUCGGGAAGAACACCCGUGGCGAAGGCGGUUAUCUGGGACGGUACUGACGCUGAGACGCGAAAGCGUGGGGAGCGAACAGG